This 474-nucleotide ribosomal RNA is filed under the name Eurema laeta (spotless grass yellow). Its description in RNAcentral is "partial 28S ribosomal RNA". Lineage: Eukaryota; Metazoa; Arthropoda; Insecta; Lepidoptera; Pieridae. The record is from RNAcentral.
AAACCUGCGAAACUCGAAUGAACGAACGGAGAGAUUCACCGUCAUUCCGCGGCGUACCCUUCCGCGCCUCGAUGUCUGCGCGCGCGCGUCUCACGGCGCGUCUGCGCGGGCACGGGUCGGACGGGUCGACGUUCUCGGAGGGCGUGCACUUCUCUCUUAGUAUGUGCGUCAGCACAAUAUACAUCGCGACCCGUUCGUGGUCGGUCUAACCGCGGUACGGGAGCCGGGCGGCCGCGCGUCUAAACAACGCCGGUCGCUCGACCGCGCCUAACGGUGGCCGGCCUACGGACGGUAUAUUUUAUGUAGGAAUCGCGCACGCGUUUCGACGCGUCAGGCCCGACGCAAGUGUCGCGUCACCGUCGACGUCCUGCCCAAGUGCGGACGCCGACGUGGCGCCGCUGUUGUCGCAGCCGUGUAGUCUCUGACUGUGCGCGUAUCCGUCUGCGAUGCUUCAGUUUCGGGCACUCGCAGGAC